This 492-nucleotide ribosomal RNA is filed under the name uncultured bacterium. RNAcentral's name for it is "partial 16S ribosomal RNA". It matches the Rfam family "Bacterial small subunit ribosomal RNA", at positions 29 to 507 of the family's 1533-position model. The record is from RNAcentral.
AGUGAACGCUGGCGGUAGGCCUAACACAUGCCAGUCGAACGGCAGCACAGUAAGAGCUUGCUCUUACGGGUGGCGAGUGGCGGACGGGUGAGGAAUACAUCGGAAUCUACUUUUUCGUGGGGGAUAACGUAGGGAAACUUACGCUAAUACCGCAUACGACCUACGGGUGAAAGCAGGGGAUCUUCGGACCUUGCGCGAUUGAAUGAGCCGAUGUCGGAUUAGCUAGUUGGCGGGGUAAAGGCCCACCAAGGCGACGAUCCGUAGCUGGUCUGAGAGGAUGAUCAGCCACACUGGAACUGAGACACGGUCCAGACUCCUACGGGAGGGAGCAGUGGGGAAUAUUGGACAAUGGGCGCAAGCCUGAUCCAGCCAUACCGCGUGGGUGAAGAAGGCCUUCGGGUUGUAAAGCCCUUUUGUUGGGAAAGAAAAGCAGCAGGUUAAUACCCCGCUGUUCUGACGGUACCCAAAGAAUAAGCACCGGCUAACUUCGUG